Fukomys damarensis (Damara mole-rat) is the source of this 520-nucleotide long non-coding RNA. RefSeq lists it as uncharacterized. Lineage: Eukaryota; Metazoa; Chordata; Mammalia; Rodentia; Bathyergidae. The record is from RefSeq and is a predicted model, not a curated record. The transcript has 2 exons.
AAUCUCAAGAUUUAUAUAUAUUAAGAUAGGAAAGGAAGAAUGUUCUGUGGACUUAGAGUGGCUCACUGAGAGAAGCUCACAGUGGUCGCGAGGUUAAACAACACAAAUUUUUAGAAUUUUGUCCUAAUUAUAGGUGCUAGAGACAUGCUGAUGAUGACAUAAUCCUUUACCAAAUUUUCACAGUUCUCCCAGUAUCCAUGUCCUGACACCAGUUUUUCUCAGUUAAGUCAUAAAGGUGAUUAUCUUGUGGCUCAGUAUGGCCAAAGAGUUAGAUGGCUAGGGCCAGGUGGGCUGUGUGCUGGUAUAUUACAUGCUACCGAGCGGCCCUUGGACUCAGUGCCACCAGUCUUGAUACGUAAUUCUGGCUGGACUUCAACUCACUGUGAGGCCCCAGACUGGUCUCAAACUCAUGGUGAUCCUUCUGCCUCAGCCUCCUGAGUGCUGGGAUUAUAGGUGAGUGUUAGCACACCCAGCUAGGAAGGACUCACUUUAAAGAAGACAGAUGCAAAAAAAAAAAAAA